RNAcentral lists this ribosomal RNA (820 nucleotides) under uncultured Gammaproteobacteria bacterium. RNAcentral's name for it is "bacterial SSU rRNA". It matches the Rfam family "Bacterial small subunit ribosomal RNA", at positions 71 to 888 of the family's 1533-position model. The record is from RNAcentral. Lineage: Bacteria; Pseudomonadati; Pseudomonadota; Gammaproteobacteria.
AAAGUAUCUUCGGAUAUGAGUAGAGCGGCGGACGGGUGAGUAACGCGUAGGAAUCUACCUAGUAGAAGGGGAUAGCCCGAGGAAACUCGGAUUAAUACCGUAUACCUCCUUCGGGAGAAAGAAGGCCUCUCUUUGAAGCUUUCGCUACUAGAUGAGCCUGCGUAAGAUUAGCUUGUUGGUGAGGUAAAGGCUCACCAAGGCUACGAUCUUAGCGGGUCUGAGAGGACGAUCCGCCACAUUGGGACUGAGACACGGCCCAGACUCCUACGGGAGGCAGCAGUGGGGAAUAUUGGACAAUGGGCGAAAGCCUGAUCCAGCCAUACCGCGUGUGUGAAGAAGGCCCUAGGGUUGUAAAGCACUUUAAGUUGGGAAGAAAAGUUAUUGGUUAAUACCCAAUGACCGUGACAUUACCAUCAGAAUAAGGACCGGCUAAUUCCGUGCCAGCAGCCGCGGUAAUACGGAAGGUCCAAGCGUUAAUCAGAAUUACUGGGCGUAAAGCGCGCGUAGGUGGUUUAUUAAGUUGGGUGUGAAAUCCCCGGGCUCAACCUGGGAACUGCAUCCAAAACUGAUUCACUAGAGUACGAUAGAGGGAGGUAGAAUUCACAGUGUAGCGGUGGAAUGCGUAGAUAUUGUGAAGAAUACCAAUGGCGAAGGCAGCCUCCUGGAUCUGUACUGACACUGAGGUGCGAAAGCGUGGGUAGCGAACAGGAUUAGAUACCCUGGUAGUCCACGCCGUAAACGAUGUCAACUAUCUGUUGGAAAGCAUUGUUUUUCAGUGGAGCAGCUAACGUAAUAAGUUGACCGCUGGGGAGUACGGCCC